This 248-nucleotide small nuclear RNA is filed under the name Salvator merianae (Argentine black and white tegu). Its description in RNAcentral is "7SK RNA (ENSSMRG00000008973.1)". It matches the Rfam family "7SK RNA". From Rfam's summary of the family: 7SK was discovered as an abundant small nuclear RNA in the mid-70s but a possible function has only recently been suggested. Two independent studies have found that 7SK RNA binds the CDK9/cyclin T complex (known as elongation factor P-TEFb). The record is from RNAcentral. Lineage: Eukaryota; Metazoa; Chordata; Lepidosauria; Squamata; Teiidae.
AUGUGCAGGUGAUGUGGUUGAGACAUCUGUCACCCCAUUGAUUCUCAGGAUUAGUUCACUAAUCUGGCUGAGUAAGAAGUUGUUCCCUAUCUCCCUCAUUUCUUUAUGCGCGUCUCUCCAGAAACUGCAUACUUGGUGGAAGAAGGAGUGUACUGUUCUUUAUUGAAGGGUAUGUGAUAGCUGUGUUGGAUUAGCUGUUCUUUGUGGUUAAAAUACAGCUAGGACCUGCCACAAUGAUGCUUUCUUCU